AUAUCCUUUAAGGUAUUGUCCAGAGAGGCAAACAAGGAAUUGCGUUAACAAAUAGUAAGUUAGUUCCCUAUCUAGCUUACUAUUUUGCAGAGCCUCCUUGUUUUAGGAGGCUUUUUUCUA
This is a non-coding RNA of Streptococcus agalactiae NEM316, 120 nucleotides long. Lineage: Bacteria; Bacillati; Bacillota; Bacilli; Lactobacillales; Streptococcaceae. The record is from Rfam.